Molecule: ribosomal RNA, 450 nt
Filed under: uncultured bacterium
Lineage: Bacteria
Description: partial 16S ribosomal RNA
Rfam family: Bacterial small subunit ribosomal RNA
Source: RNAcentral
GUGGGGAAUAUUGCGCAAUGGGCGAAAGCCUGACGCAGCGACGCCGCGUGAGGGAUGAAGGUUUUCGGAUCGUAAACCUCUGUCAGAAGGGAAGAAACUACAUUGUGCUAAUCAGCAGUGUACUGACGGUACCUUCAAAGGAAGCACCGGCUAACUCCGUGCCAGCAGCCGCGGUAAUACGGAGGGUGUAAGCGUUAAUCGGAAUUACUGGGCGUAAAGCGCACGUAGGCUGUAGUGUAAGUCAGGGGUGAAAUCCCACGGCUCAACCGUGGAACUGCCUUUGAUACUGCACAACUUGAAUCCGGGAGAGGGUGGCGGAAUUCCAGGUGUAGGAGUGAAAUCCGUAGAUAUCUGGAGGAACAUCAGUGGCGAAGGCGGCCACCUGGACCGGUAUUGACGCUGAGGUGCGAAAGCGUGGGGAGCAAACAGGAUUAGAAACCCUGGUAGUCC